This 207-nucleotide unclassified non-coding RNA is filed under the name Hevea brasiliensis (rubber tree). Lineage: Eukaryota; Viridiplantae; Streptophyta; Magnoliopsida; Malpighiales; Euphorbiaceae. The record is from RNAcentral.
GAAAGAUCGAUAAAGAACGCAAGUCCCGAGGAAGGGAAAUGUUCUCCACGUUUUGGAUGGCGAGACGAAUUGCGGUUUUAUCAGCAUUCCAGGCAAGAUCUGUGUUAGUGUCACGCACAUCCAACAACCCACGUUCUCUUGCUUCUGUAAGACACAACUUCCGAAAUAGAUCGUGAACUUGAAAAUAUUGAACACUUUCAUCGAAAC